Molecule: ribosomal RNA, 254 nt
Filed under: uncultured bacterium
Lineage: Bacteria
Description: partial 16S ribosomal RNA
Rfam family: Bacterial small subunit ribosomal RNA
Source: RNAcentral
UACGUAGGUGGCAAGCGUUGUCCGGAAUUAUUGGGCGUAAAGCGCGCGCAGGCGGCCUCUUAAGUCUGAUGUGAAAGCCCCCCGGCUCAACCGGGGAGGGCCAUUGGAAACUGGGAGGCUUGAGUAUAGGAGAGAAGAGUGGAAUUCCACGUGUAGCGGUGAAAUGCGUAGAGAUGUGGAGGAACACCAGUGGCGAAGGCGACUCUUUGGCCUAUAACUGACGCUGAGGCGCGAAAGCGUGGGGAGCAACCAGG